Molecule: non-coding RNA, 441 nt
Organism: Cherax quadricarinatus
Lineage: Eukaryota; Metazoa; Arthropoda; Malacostraca; Decapoda; Parastacidae
Source: RefSeq, a predicted model, not a curated record
UAUGGUUAAUAAUACAAGUGUUGCAGAUACGUACACAUAGGUCCCAGGCUGACAGCAUUACUGGCAGAGGCCAGUUCUGGAGACAGUAUUGUGUCAGAUAAUAUUGCCUGCUUGAGUCCCUGGGCACAGCUGGGCCUGCCAAAGUCAACAGUUCUUCUGGUAUGUGCUAAUGUUUUCCAUAACAAGAUGCAGCAGUUAUCUUCUCUCCCUCCAACGGCCAUUUUGGUGGAAUAUGGCUUUCAGGCUGAUUAUGACUUUUCUCGAGGUGUUCAACUUGCGGUAGAGACUGGGCGACCAUUGGCAGUGUGUCCUGGUACUGCAGCUUGGAGCAGUUUAAGUGGGUGGCCAGAGGCUGGGGUGAGCAAUGUGUACAGUGGUGUGGUGGGAGGUGUGGAUGGUGGGGCAGGUGGUGUAGUUGUUGCCAUUGGUCCAGUAGUGCUG